RNAcentral lists this unclassified non-coding RNA (102 nucleotides) under plant metagenome. RNAcentral's name for it is "partial contains 5.8S ribosomal RNA, internal transcribed spacer 2, and large subunit ribosomal RNA". The record is from RNAcentral.
CGCGAAUUCGAGCCAAGUCUCUGCGUUCGGUUGCAGCGUUGAAAAGCUUGUCGAGUACCGCGAUCCUCCCAACGGGGUCCGCCAUGGCCCCAGCGCCAAGAG